UACGUAGGGCGCAAGCGUUGUCCGGAAUUAUUGGGCGUAAAGAGCUCGUAGGCGGCUUGUCACGUCGAUUGUGAAAGCCCGAGGCUUAACCUCGGGUCUGCAGUCGAUACGGGCUAGCUAGAGUGUGGUAGGGGAGAUCGGAAUUCCUGGUGUAGCGGUGAAAUGCGCAGAUAUCAGGAGGAACACCGGUGGCGAAGGCGGGUCUCUGGGCCGUAACUGACGCUGAGGAGCGAAAGCAUGGGGAGCGAACAGG
RNAcentral lists this ribosomal RNA (253 nucleotides) under uncultured bacterium. RNAcentral describes it as "partial 16S ribosomal RNA". It matches the Rfam family "Bacterial small subunit ribosomal RNA", at positions 524 to 776 of the family's 1533-position model. The record is from RNAcentral.